RNAcentral lists this ribosomal RNA (440 nucleotides) under uncultured bacterium. RNAcentral's name for it is "partial 16S ribosomal RNA". It matches the Rfam family "Bacterial small subunit ribosomal RNA", at positions 338 to 795 of the family's 1533-position model. The record is from RNAcentral.
CCUACGGGCGGCAGCAGUAGGGAAUAUUGCUCAAUGGGGGAAACCCUGAAGCAGCAACGCCGCGUGGAGGAUGAAGGUUUUCGGAUUGUUAACUCCUUUUUUUAGAGAAGAUAAUGACGGUAUCUAACGAAUAAGCACCGGCUAACUCCGUGCCAGCAGCCGCGGUAAUACGGCGGGUGCAAGCGUUACUCGGAAUAACUGGGCGUAAAGAGCGCGUAGGCGGGAUAGCAAGUCAGUUGUGAAAACCUAUGGCUUAACCAUAGAACUGAAUUUGAAACUGUUAUUCUAGAGUAUGGGAGAGGUAGGUGGAAUGCUUGGUGUAGGGGUAAAAUCCGUAGAGAUCAAGAGGAAUACUCAUUGCGAAGGCGACCUGCUAGAACAUAACUGACGCUGAUGCGCGAAAGCGUGGGGAGCAAACAGGAUUAGAUACCCCAGUAGUC